Molecule: transfer RNA, 72 nt
Filed under: Camelus bactrianus (Bactrian camel)
Lineage: Eukaryota; Metazoa; Chordata; Mammalia; Artiodactyla; Camelidae
Also listed under: 1 other name
Rfam family: tRNA
About the family: Transfer RNA (tRNA) molecules are approximately 80 nucleotides in length. Their secondary structure includes four short double-helical elements and three loops (D, anti-codon, and T loops).
Source: Rfam by way of RNAcentral
GAGCGUAUAGCUCAGUGGUAGAGCACAUGCUUAGCAUGCACAAGGUCCUGGGUUCAGUCCCCAGUACCUCCG